AGAGUUUGAUCAUGGCUCAGAUUGAACGCUGGCGGCAUGCCUUACACAUGCAAGUCGAACGGCAGCACGAGAGCUUGCUCUUGGUGGCGGGUGGCGAACGGGUGAGUAAUAUAUCGGAACGUACCCUAGAGUGGGGGAUAACGUAGCGAAAGUUACGCUAAUACCGCAUACGAUCUACGGAUGAAAGUGGGGGAUCGCAAGACCUCAUGCUCAUGGAGCGGCCGAUAUCUGAUUAGCUAGUUGGUGGGGUAAAAGCUCACCAAGGCGACGAUCAGUAGCUGGUCUGAGAGGACGACCAGCCACACUGGAACUGAGACACGGUCCAGACUCCUACGGGAGGCAGCAGUGGGGAAUUUUGGACAAUGGGCGCAAGCCUGAUCCAGCAAUGCCGCGUGAGUGAAGAAGGCCUUCGGGUUGUAAAGCUCUUUCGUCAGGGAAGAAACGGUGGACUCUAAUACAGAUCACUAAUGACGGUACCUGAAGAAUAAGCACCGGCUAACUACGUGCCAGCAGCCGCGGUAAUACGUAGGGUGCAAGCGUUAAUCGGAAUUACUGGGCGUAAAGCGUGCGCAGGCGGUUGUGCAAGACAGAUGUGAAAUCCCCGGGCUCAACCUGGGAAUUGCAUUUGUGACUGCACGGCUAGAGUGUGUCAGAGGGGGGUAGAAUUCCACGUGUAGCAGUGAAAUGCGUAGAGAUGUGGAGGAAUACCGAUGGCGAAGGCAGCCCCCUGGGAUAACACUGACGCUCAUGCACGAAAGCGUGGGGAGCAAACAGGAUUAGAUACCCUGGUAGUCCACGCCCUAAACGAUGUCUACUAGUUGUCGGGUCUUAAUUGACUUGGUAACGCAGCUAACGCGUGAAGUAGACCGCCUGGGGAGUACGGUCGCAAGAUUAAAACUCAAAGGAAUAGACGGGGACCCGCACAAGCGGUGGAUGAUGUGGAUUAAUUCGAUGCAACGCGAAAAACCUUACCUACCCUUGACAUGUCUGGAAUCCUUGAGAGAUCAGGGAGUGCUCGAAAGAGAAUCAGAACACAGGUGCUGCAUGGCUGUCGUCAGCUCGUGUCGUGAGAUGUUGGGUUAAGUCCCGCAACGAGCGCAACCCUUGUCAUUAGUUGCUACGAAAGGGCACUCUAAUGAGACUGCCGGUGACAAACCGGAGGAAGGUGGGGAUGACGUCAAGUCCUCAUGGCCCUUAUGGGUAGGGCUUCACACGUCAUACAACGGUACAUACAGAGGGCCGCCAACCCGCGAGGGGGAGCUAAUCCCAGAAAGUGUAUCGUAGUCCGGAUUGUAGUCUGCAACUCGACUACAUGAAGUUGGAAUCGCUAGUAAUCGCGGAUCAGCAUGUCGCGGUGAAUACGUUCCCGGGUCUUGUACACACCGCCCGUCACACCAUGGGAGCGGGUUUCACCAGAAGUGGGUAGCCUAACCGCAAGGAGGGCGCUCACCACGGCGGGAUUCGUGACUGGGGUGAAGUCGUAACAAGGUA
Molecule: ribosomal RNA, 1491 nt
Filed under: metagenome
Description: bacterial SSU rRNA
Rfam family: Bacterial small subunit ribosomal RNA
Source: RNAcentral